GUUUACGGCCAUACCACCCUGAACACGCCCAAUCUCAUCUGGUCUUGGAAGCUAAGCAGGGUUGGGCCUGGUUAGUACCUGAUGGGAGACCACCUGGGAAUAUCAGGUGCCGUACGCC
Ribosomal RNA from Nematolebias whitei (Rio pearlfish), 118 nucleotides. The record is from RefSeq and is a predicted model, not a curated record. NCBI's taxonomy places the organism in Eukaryota, Metazoa, Chordata, Actinopteri, Cyprinodontiformes, Rivulidae.